UACGUAGGUUGCGAGCGUUAUUCGGAUUUACUGGGCGUAAAGAGCACCGAGGUGGCUUCUUAAGUUGGAUGUGAAAUCUCCUGGCUUAACCGGGAGGCGCCAUUCAAAACUGGGGAGCUUGAGGUCAGCAGGGGAAGGUGGAAUUCCCGGUGUAGCGGUGAAAUGCGCAGAUAUCGGGAGGAACACCAAUGGCGAAGGCAGCUCGCUGGGACGGUACUGACGCUGAGGCGCGAAAGCGUGGGGAGCAAACAGG
RNAcentral lists this ribosomal RNA (253 nucleotides) under uncultured bacterium. Its description in RNAcentral is "partial 16S ribosomal RNA". It matches the Rfam family "Bacterial small subunit ribosomal RNA", at positions 524 to 776 of the family's 1533-position model. The record is from RNAcentral.